Molecule: non-coding RNA, 26 nt
Filed under: Cricetulus griseus (Chinese hamster)
Lineage: Eukaryota; Metazoa; Chordata; Mammalia; Rodentia; Cricetidae
Source: RNAcentral
GUGAGGCGACUGCGGGCAGGUAAGAG